AUUUUGUAUGCUCUUCUAUGUGGCACUCUUCCUUUUGACGAUGAAAACAUUCCCAACCUGUUUAAGAAAAUAAAGGGUGGAAUCUAUACUCUUCCAAGUCAUUUAUCAUCUGGUGCUAGAGAACUGAUUCCAAGCAUGCUGGUGGUUGACCCAAUGAAACGCAUCACGAUCCCUGAGAUUCGGCAGCACCCAUGGUUUCAGGCUCAUCUUCCACGCUAUUUAGCCGUGCCUCCACCUGAUACAAUGCAACAGGCAAAAAAGAU
RNAcentral lists this unclassified non-coding RNA (263 nucleotides) under Hevea brasiliensis (rubber tree). The record is from RNAcentral. Lineage: Eukaryota; Viridiplantae; Streptophyta; Magnoliopsida; Malpighiales; Euphorbiaceae.